Molecule: long non-coding RNA, 906 nt
Filed under: Brassica napus (rape)
Lineage: Eukaryota; Viridiplantae; Streptophyta; Magnoliopsida; Brassicales; Brassicaceae
Description: long non-coding RNA (BNAP_LNC001225)
Source: RNAcentral
UCCUGUCAUAAAUGUGAAACCAGAGAAACAAAAUUAAAAUUUCAAAAAUCAAUGCUUAAACCCUUUUGUGGCAAUACAUCAGAGAAACGUUGUGUGUUCACACGUUGUUAAGGGGCAUGUGACCUUUCCAAAAUGAGUUUAAAUACCAUCAACCAUAGGAGGUUUGCAGGGCCGUCUGACAGCACGCGCAAGUGGAGCGGUCGAACAGGGCCCCGAAAUAUAAAAAUAAAAAAUUUAAGGCUUUUUGGAAAUAUAUAGAUAAAUUAUGGUAAGAAACUUUAAAACUUUAGAUAUAAUGCUAAAUUUAGAACUUAUAAUUAAAAAAAAUAAAACAAAAUUUUAAAAUUUUAAAAUUACUUGAUAAAAUAUACGAUUAAUAUUUUUUUUGAACAGGGCCUCAAAUUAAUUUGAGACGGCCCUGGAGGUUUGUACAAUAGCUUAAACUAAUCAUCUUUCCAUUUCUCAGCAAACAUUAUACACACACUAAGUCAAAAAAGAUUACCAAAAACUAACCGUAAGAGAAGUUCCUUUCCACUUUAUUAGGUGACAAGCAAACGAAUUUUCAAACUAGUGAAAUCAAAUUUUUUGUCUCUAAAUUAAUUAUGCCUGUCCAUAAACACAAUAUUCAUAUGCCUCUUCACCUCUCAUAUAAACCAAGAACAAUCUCUGAAAAGUGAUCCGAGGAGACAACUUCUCUAAGCUAAGCUUUGAUCAAAAAAUAUCUAAGCUAAAAGACAAAUCAAUCCUCAUCAAAAGAACUCUUCCAAGUUGAUUUUUCUGUUAUAAAUCUAAGCUUAAUCAAACAAAUUCAAAAUUGAAUAGAAGCCAAAGAUCGAAACUUUAAAAGUUAUAAAUCAGAGAUCCAUGAAAAGGGUUAUCUCAUCAGAAUCACAACCUCACAUCUAU